RNAcentral lists this ribosomal RNA (253 nucleotides) under uncultured bacterium. RNAcentral describes it as "partial 16S ribosomal RNA". It matches the Rfam family "Bacterial small subunit ribosomal RNA", at positions 524 to 776 of the family's 1533-position model. The record is from RNAcentral.
UACGUAGGGUGCAGGCGUUAAUCGGAAUUACUGGGCGUAAAGCGUGCGCAGGCGGUUUUGUAAGUCUGUCGUGAAAUCCCCGGGCUUAACCUGGGAAUGGCAUUUGUGACUGGAAGGCUAGAGUGUGUCAGAGGGGGGUAGAAUUCCACGUGUAGCAGUGAAAUGCGUAGAGAUGUGGAGGAAUACCGAUGGCGAAGGCAGCCCCCUGGGAUAACACUGACGCUCAUGCACGAAAGCGUGGGGAGCAAACAGG